AGUCGAACGGAAAGGCCCUGCUUGCAGGGUACUCGAGUGGCGAACGGGUGAGUAACACGUGGGUGAUCUGCCCUGCACUUCGGGACAAGCUUGGGAAACUGGGUCUAAUACCGGAUAGGAACCAUCUUUAGUGUGGUGGUUGGAAAGUUUUUUCGGUGUAGGAUGAGCUCGCGGCCUAUCAGCUUUGUUGGUGGGGUAAUGGCCUACCAAGGCGGCGACGGGUAGCCGGCCUGAGAGGGUGUACGGCCACAUUGGGACUGAGAUACGGCCCAGACUCCUACGGGAGGCAGCAGUGGGGAAUAUUGCACAAUGGGCGCAAGCCUGAUGCAGCGACGCCGCGUGGGGGAUGAAGGCCUUCGGGUUGUAAACUCCUUUCGCUAGGGACGAAGCUUUUUGUGACGGUACCUAGAUAAGAAGCACCGGCUAACUACGUGCCAGCAGCCGCGGUAAUACGUAGGGUGCGAGCGUUGUCCGGAAUUACUGGGCGUAAAGGGCUCGUAGGUGGUUUGUCGCGUCGUCUGUGAAAUUCUGGGGCUUAACUCCGGGCGUGCAGGCGAUACGGGCAUAACUUGAGUGCUGUAGGGGUAACUGGAAUUCCUGGUGUAGCGGUGAAAUGCGCAGAUAUCAGGAGGAACACCGAUGGCGAAGGCAGGUUACUGGGCAGUUACUGACGCUGAGGAGCGAAAGCAUGGGUA
This 695-nucleotide ribosomal RNA is filed under the name uncultured Actinomycetales bacterium. RNAcentral's name for it is "bacterial SSU rRNA". It matches the Rfam family "Bacterial small subunit ribosomal RNA", at positions 60 to 767 of the family's 1533-position model. Lineage: Bacteria; Bacillati; Actinomycetota; Actinomycetes; Actinomycetales. The record is from RNAcentral.